AUUGAACGCUGGCGGCAGGCCUAACACAUGCAAGUCGAACGGUAACAGGAAACAGCUUGCUGUUUCGCUGACGAGUGGCGGACGGGUGAGUAAUGUCUGGGAAACUGCCUGAUGGAGGGGGAUAACUACUGGAAACGGUAGCUAAUACCGCAUAACGUCGCAAGACCAAAGAGGGGGACCUUCGGGCCUCUUGCCAUCGGAUGUGCCCAGAUGGGAUUAGCUAGUAGGUGGGGUAACGGCUCACCUAGGCGACGAUCCCUAGCUGGUCUGAGAGGAUGACCAGCCACACUGGAACUGAGACACGGUCCAGACUCCUACGGGAGGCAGCAGUGGGGAAUAUUGCACAAUGGGCGCAAGCCUGAUGCAGCCAUGCCGCGUGUAUGAAGAAGGCCUUCGGGUUGUAAAGUACUUUCAGCGGGGAUGAAGGGAGUAAAGUUAAUACCUUUGCUCAUCGACGUUACCCGCAGAAGAAGCACCGGCUAACUCCGUG
RNAcentral lists this ribosomal RNA (490 nucleotides) under uncultured bacterium. Its description in RNAcentral is "partial 16S ribosomal RNA". It matches the Rfam family "Bacterial small subunit ribosomal RNA", at positions 30 to 507 of the family's 1533-position model. The record is from RNAcentral.